This 1410-nucleotide ribosomal RNA is filed under the name uncultured bacterium. RNAcentral's name for it is "bacterial SSU rRNA". It matches the Rfam family "Bacterial small subunit ribosomal RNA". The record is from RNAcentral.
AGAGUUUGAUCCUGGCUCAGGAUGAACGCUAGCUACAGGCUUAACACAUGCAAGUCGAGGGGCAGCAUGGUCUUAGCUUGCUAAGGCCGAUGGCGACCGGCGCACGGGUGAGUAACACGUAUCCAACCUGCCGUCUACUCUUGGACAGCCUUCUGAAAGGAAGAUUAAUACAAGAUGGCAUCAUGAGUCCGCAUGUUCACAUGAUUAAAGGUAUUCCGGUAGACGAUGGGGAUGCGUUCCAUUAGAUAGUAGGCGGGGUAACGGCCCACCUAGUCUUCGAUGGAUAGGGGUUCUGAGAGGAAGGUCCCCCACAUUGGAACUGAGACACGGUCCAAACUCCUACGGGAGGCAGCAGUGAGGAAUAUUGGUCAAUGGGCGAGAGCCUGAACCAGCCAAGUAGCGUGAAGGAUGACUGCCCUAUGGGUUGUAAACUUCUUUUAUAAAGGAAUAAAGUCGGGUAUGCAUACUCGUUUGCAUGUACUUUAUGAAUAAGGAUCGGCUAACUCCGUGCCAGCAGCCGCGGUAAUACGGAGGAUCCGAGCGUUAUCCGGAUUUAUUGGGUUUAAAGGGAGCGUAGAUGGAUGUUUAAGUCAGUUGUGAAAGUUUGCGGCUCAACCGUAAAAUUGCAGUUGAUACUGGAUAUCUUGAGUGCAGUUGAGGCAGGCGGAAUUCGUGGUGUAGCGGUGAAAUGCUUAGAUAUCACGAAGAACUCCGAUUGCGAAGGCAGCCUGCUAAGCUGCAACUGACAUUGAGGCUCGAAAGUGUGGGUAUCAAACAGGAUUAGAUACCCUGGUAGUCCACACGGUAAACGAUGAAUACUCGCUGUUUGCGAUAUACAGCAAGCGGCCAAGCGAAAGCGUUAAGUAUUCCCCCUGGGGGAGUACCCCCGCCACCGGUGAAACUCCAAAGGAAUUGACGGGGGGCCCGCACAACCGGAGGAACAAUGUGGGUUUAAUUUCAAUGAUAACGCCAGGGAACCUUCACCCCGGCGUUAAAUUUGCGAAGAGAAUUACCCGUGGAAAGCCGUAAGCCGCAAGGCAUCUGUGAAGGUGCUGCAUGGUUGUCGUCAGCUCGUGCCGUGAGGUGUCGGCUUAAGUGCCAUAACGAGCGCAACCCUUGUUGUCAGUUACUAACAGGUUCCGCUGAGGACUCUGACAAGACUGCCAUCGUAAGAUGUGAGGAAGGUGGGGAUGACGUCAAAUCAGCACGGCCCUUACGUCCGGGGCUACACACGUGUUACAAUGGGGGGUACAGAGGGCCGCUACCACGCGAGUGGAUGCCAAUCCCCAAAACCUCUCUCAGUUCGGACUGGAGUCUGCAACCCGACUCCACGAAGCUGGAUUCGCUAGUAAUCGCGCAUCAGCCACGGCGCGGUGAAUACGUUCCCGGGCCUUGUACACACCGCCCGUC